GUAGGGAGCAAGCGUUGUCCGGAUUUACUGGGUGUAAAGGGUGCGUAGGCGGCUUUGCAAGUCAGAUGUGAAAACCUAUGGCUCAACCCAUAAAACUGCAUUUGAAACUGUAGAGCUUGAGUGAAGUAGAGGCAGGCGGAAUUCCCCGUGUAGCGGUGAAAUGCGUAGAGAUGGGGAGGAACACCAGUGGCGNAGGCGGCCUGCUGGGCUUUAACUGACGCUGAGGCACGAANGCGUGGGGAGCANNCAGGAUUAGAUACCCUGGUAGUCCACGCUGUANACGAUGGAUACUNGGUGUGCGGGGACUGACCCCCUGCGUGCCGCNGUUAACACNCUANG
Molecule: ribosomal RNA, 339 nt
Filed under: uncultured bacterium
Lineage: Bacteria
Description: partial 16S ribosomal RNA
Rfam family: Bacterial small subunit ribosomal RNA
Source: RNAcentral